Molecule: ribosomal RNA, 424 nt
Filed under: Verrucomicrobiota bacterium
Lineage: Bacteria; Pseudomonadati; Verrucomicrobiota
Description: Verrucomicrobia bacterium partial 16S ribosomal RNA
Rfam family: Bacterial small subunit ribosomal RNA
Source: RNAcentral
UGAGGAAUAUUGGUCAAUGGACGCACGUCUGAACCAGCCAAGCAGCGUGCAGGAUGACGGCCCUAUGGUUUGUAAACUGCUUUUAUAUGGGGAUAAAGUGGGGAACGUGUUCCCUUUUGCAUGUACCAUACGAAUAAGGACCGGCUAAUUCCGUGCCAGCAGCCGCGGUAAUACGGAAGGUCCAGGCGUUAUCCGGAUCUAUUGGGUUUAAAGGGAGCGUAGGCUGUUUGUUAAGCGUGUUGUGAAAUGUAAGAGCUCAACUUUUAGAUUGCAGCGCGAACUGGCAGACUUGAGUGCGCACAACGUAGGCGGAAUUCAUGGUGUAGCGGUGAAAUGCUUAGAUAUCAUGACGAACUCCGAUUGCGAAGGCAGCUUACGGGAGCGCAACUGACGCUAAAGCUCGAAGGUGCGGGUAUCGAACAGG